AACGCUAGCUACAGGCUUAACACAUGCAAGUCGAGGGGAAACGGCAUUUAGUGCUUGCACUGAAUGGACGUCGACCGGCGCACGGGUGAGUAACGCGUAUCCAACCUACCCAUUACUGUGGGAUAACCUGCCGAAAGGCAGACUAAUACCGCAUGGUCUUCGAUGACGGCAUCAGAUUUGAAGUAAAGAUUUAUCGGUAAUGGAUGGGGAUGCGUCUGAUUAGCUUGUUGGCGGGGUAACGGCCCACCAAGGCAACGAUCAGUAGGGGUUCUGAGAGGAAGGUCCCCCACAUUGGAACUGAGACACGGUCCAAACUCCUACGGGAGGCAGCAGUGAGGAAUAUUGGUCAAUGGACGAGAGUCUGAACCAGCCAAGUAGCGUGCAGGAUGACGGCCCUAUGGGUUGUAAACUGCUUUUGUAUGGGGAUAAAGUUAGGGACGUGUCCCUAUUUGCAGGUACCAUACGAAUAAGGACCGGCUAAUUCCGUGCCAGCAGCCGCGGUAAUACGGAAGGUCCGGGCGUUAUCCGGAUUUAUUGGGUUUAAAGGGAGCGUAGGCUGGAGAUUAAGUGUGUUGUGAAAUGUAGACGCUCAACGUCUGAAUUGCAGCGCAUACUGGUUUCCUUGAGUACGCACAACGUUGGCGGAAUUCGUCGUGUAGCGGUGAAAUGCUUAGAUAUGACGAAGAACUCCGAUUGCGAAGGCAGCUGACGGGAGCGCAACUGACGCUUAAGCUCGAAGGUGCGGGUAUCGAACAGGAUUAGAUACCCUGGUAGUCCGCACAGUAAACGAUGGAUGCCCGCUGUUGGUACCUGGUAUCAGCGGCUAAGCGAAAGCAUUAAGCAUCC
This 846-nucleotide ribosomal RNA is filed under the name uncultured Bacteroidota bacterium. Its description in RNAcentral is "bacterial SSU rRNA". It matches the Rfam family "Bacterial small subunit ribosomal RNA", at positions 32 to 869 of the family's 1533-position model. The record is from RNAcentral. Lineage: Bacteria; Pseudomonadati; Bacteroidota.